UACGGAGGAUUCAAGCGUUAUCCGGAUUUAUUGGGUUUAAAGGGUGCGCAGGCGGCGUGUCAAGCAAGCGGUAAAAUAGCGGGGCUCAACCCCGUCGAGCCGUUUGAACUGGCGCGCUUGAGUUCAGGCGAGGUAGGCGGAAUUCGUGGUGUAGCGGUGAAAUGCAUAGAUAUCACGGAGAACUCCGAUUGCGAAGGCAGCCUGCUGGACUGUAACUGACGUUGAGGCUCGAAAGCGUGGGGAGCAAACAGG
Molecule: ribosomal RNA, 252 nt
Filed under: uncultured Bacteroidales bacterium
Lineage: Bacteria; Pseudomonadati; Bacteroidota; Bacteroidia; Bacteroidales
Description: partial 16S ribosomal RNA
Rfam family: Bacterial small subunit ribosomal RNA
Source: RNAcentral